This 454-nucleotide ribosomal RNA is filed under the name uncultured bacterium. RNAcentral describes it as "partial 16S ribosomal RNA". It matches the Rfam family "Bacterial small subunit ribosomal RNA", at positions 28 to 507 of the family's 1533-position model. The record is from RNAcentral.
GAUGAACGCUGACAGCAUGCUUAACACAUGCAAGUCAACUUGAACUUCGGUUUGGGUGGCGGACGGGUGAGUAACGCGUAAAGAACUUGCCUCACAGAUAGGGACAACAUUUGGAAACGAAUGCUAAUACCUGAUAUUAUGAUUUUAGGGCAUCCUAGGAUUAUGACAGCUAUAUGCGCUGUGAGAGAGCGUUGCGUCCCAUCAGCUAGUUGGAGAGGUAACGGCUCACCAAGGCGAUGAUGGGUAGCCGGCCUGAGAGGGGGAUCGGCCACAAGGGGACUGAGGCACGGCCCGUACUCCUUCGGGAGGCAGCAGUGAGAAAUAUUGGACAAUGGACCGAGAGUCUGAUCCAGCAAUUCUGUUUGCACGAUGAAGUUUUUCGGAAUGUAAAGUGCUUUCAGUUGGGAAGAAAAAAAUGACGGUACCAACAGAAGAAGUGACGGCUAAAUACGUG